RNAcentral lists this long non-coding RNA (278 nucleotides) under Elaeis guineensis (African oil palm). Its description in RNAcentral is "long non-coding RNA (EGUI_LNC061166)". Lineage: Eukaryota; Viridiplantae; Streptophyta; Magnoliopsida; Arecales; Arecaceae. The record is from RNAcentral.
UGAGUCCCGACUGAAUUAGGGUUAAGGUGAACUCGUCAAACCCAACAUCAGUCAUAUGAAUCAAUCGAUCGAUCCAAAUCUGAUGUGAAACCUCAAUGGAAAACUCUUUUCCAUUAUUUCACUCUGCCAUGGCCAUGGGCUUAAGGACUCAAUCUUUCGAUCAUUAUAGGACUACUCCUCUUAUCUACCGAGGUUGAUAGAUCCCAUCUUGGUGCAAUCUGGUUCCUACAAUGAAUAUGCUACAGCCAACAUACACCUCAGGAUUUUGAAUGGCUAGG